RNAcentral lists this ribosomal RNA (253 nucleotides) under uncultured bacterium. RNAcentral's name for it is "partial 16S ribosomal RNA". It matches the Rfam family "Bacterial small subunit ribosomal RNA", at positions 524 to 776 of the family's 1533-position model. The record is from RNAcentral.
UACGAAGGGGGCUAGCGUUGCUCGGAAUCACUGGGCGUAAAGCGCACGUAGGCGGCUUCUUAAGUCAGGGGUGAAAUCCUGGAGCUCAACUCCAGAACUGCCCUUGAUACUGAGAGGCUCGAGUCCGGGAGAGGUGAGUGGAACUGGGAGUGUAGAGGUGAAAUUCGUAGAUAUUCGCAAGAACACCAGUGGCGAAGGCGGCUCACUGGCCCGGUACUGACGCUGAGGUGCGAAAGCGUGGGGAGCAAACGGG